UCUCUCUCUCUCUCUUGAGUUAGAAUUUCUUGCUGAAACUAGGACUCACCAGUAGCUGUUUUGGUGGGUUAGCAAGCAUCUGGAAUCGUCGUCUUUCUGCUUUUGGGAGCUGGGACUCAGGUGAGUACUUCCACACUCUGCUUUUUACAUUCAUUCCAGGGUUGUGAACUCUGGUUCUCAAGCUUCUGUAACAACCAGUCUACUCACUGCGUCAUCUCCCCAGCUGGAGUCAAGAUCCUUAGCAGCCAGUCUUCCAUCCUUAUGAGCUUUGGACCCAGGAUAGUUGAACAAAUCUUGAAAGGCAACUUGUGAAGUUGCAGCUGGGAAUGAAAUAUUUUCCAGAUGGGAGUCACCACACACAGGAGGGACAGAUGCGUUUAUCUAAUUUUACUAGAUGGUUAAGGUCAUGGAUUUAACAUCUACCUGAUCAAGUUGCUCUACUGAGGUGCUUAUCUGUACAGUACUUAAUUGUUUUAAUUACUUGAGAACAUUAAACAGGCAACUUUUCUAGAUCUCCUGAGAUCCUGGGCCAUCAGGCAACAUAGAACUCACAUUCCCAACUACCAGAACAUUGACGUUGCUGCUCUAGGGCCAGGCCCUGCUUUCCAGUUGGCUGAAGAAGGACCUUUCUCAGCCCAUUUCACUUCUUUGCCAAGAUAACUACUUGGUUCUUGAGGGCCUCUGGGACCAAGGCCCUUGCUAAUCUGCCUUUCUAGAGUUUCCCUCCCAUACAGGCAGGUUUUCCAGUCCCCACUUUCCUGAGGUCAGUCUCCAGUUCCACAUGGCCCUGUGGAGAUUUGAGGGUUAGUGCUUGGCAGCCAUUUUGACCUGGGUGUGUCAGGCACAGUGUAGCAUCUUUUGAAUUUUCUCUGUCCCAGACAUUUUCAAACAAUUGUGUUGGAGAGAAAACAAAUGGCAGAUGUUAACAAAACCACAGCUUCUACUCAAAAAUGACUCAGAAUUCAAGAUCUACUUCAUGGUUAUUGGUAGAAUCCACUGACUAGAAGAACUCAUAGUUCAAGUGUCACUUGUAUCCAGACAAUUUCCUCCUUCACAGCUCAGAAUCAAGACAUCACUAGCAUCAGGCGCUUGAGUCUUUCAAAGCAAUCCCCUGCCCUGCUAUACUUUUGUGUUCCAGGAGCUGGGAUCUUUCCAAGAAAAGAAAAAGCCCAUAUGGAUCAGAACCGGGUGUCACUCAUUUUAUGUUCUUGUUUUCUUCAAUCUAUAUGUAGCUGAGUUCCCAGAGAUUUUUAUAUUUCUCAAGGGUGGCAGGAGGUGAGCCUUCUGUGAGAAAUGACUCUGUAAGAUGAAGUUGCGAAUCGGAAUCUCUCUCCAUGUUUAUACAACCAUAGUGCAUAGCUGUAGAGUCCAGGAGAUUUCCCUUGGGAUAAAAAUGCCUAUUCAUUUUGUUAUUUUGGGAGGUGAUUUUUAAGGCACAGAAAGAAUACAAAUAGACAGCAUAAAGCCAGCACAGUCUAAAGCUGGGAUUCUGACAUCAACCUCUACAUUCCACACCUUGGUCACAUCGCAGCUGUCUUCUUAUUUAUCCAGUUGCUGUUUUAGAACAUUCCAGUGAUCAAUAUGUGUAGUGCCUGUCUGGGAGGCCCCAGUAAUGAACACAAGGCAUUGACAGUGGAGUCACCACUUUCUAUGGCAAUGAGUAAUUUGCUGGUUUUCUCAGAAGUAAACCGUUAAGAGGGCUCCACAAAAUGUCUUUUUUUUUCUUCUUCAUUAUCAUUAGCUAUUGAUUAAACUCCCCAUUUUCCAUCUGACAAAUUUGUUAAAGUCACAAAUAAUGCAACAAAUGACAGUGCUGACCACGGGGUCAUUAGAAGCUUCCGUAGCCCGCGUCAGUCCGGGAUGUGCUGGGUGUCUAGAUCUUUGGAAAGCAAUGCUGAUGAGGAACCGUUUGCCCACUCAGGUCCCGGGUUUCUACAACCGCUGCGUGUGUCACCAGCGAGGCUCAUCUUUUAUGUUGAUUUCUAUUAGUGAAUAUAUAAAUACAGCUUGAAGAAUGCUACCUGUCCCCCAGCUCUUGAACCAUCAAUAGAAUCCAGAAUGGUGAAUUCUUUGUAGAAGUCACCUUGGUUCCGUUGGGGGGAAAAUUACUGAUGUUCUUUGAAAAGGUAGAGUUUGAGGGCUUUUUUUAAAAAAAUGUAGCUGAAUAGGAUUUUAAGAAAGCAGAAUUAUAAUGUGGAGUGAAAAGAAAAAGCGAGAGGUUGGGUCAGAAACUGGGUUAUCAGUACAAUGCAGAAAGGCAAAAUAAAUGCUAAUAGACUGCACACGUGCCCUUCCUGCUAGAUUAGAGACCAGGAGGGCGCCUGCUGAAUGCAGACCAUUGUAUGGCCGCACAGAGCAAAGGGUCUGGGCUAUUAUCCCUCGCUCGGCCCCUUGUGCCACAGAUGGUUCUUCUUGCUUCUCUUAUCAGAGCUGUGCAUUCAGUCUCUGCAGCUUGAUCUCUUCCUCACUCCUCUGCUCAUACAAAAAACGGAUUGAUCUGCUGAAAGAGAGGGCUAGGAGAGGGGCUGUCUCUGAGGGAUAGGGGAGGUUUCAGAAACAAAAGGAGUGGGAGGCCAGGUGCAGGCAUGGGACAGGGCAGUGGAUUUAGAUGCUCUAGGAGGUGAUGGGGACAGCCCCGGCAGCAACCAGCAACCAAGUGUUCCCUAGGCCUUAAGCUCGGCCACCUGCAAAAUGGCCUUGGCUUUUGUGCUCAGGGAGACCUAAAGUUCUCAGGUGUUGAACAAUCGGAGUGGGCUCUCCAUACCUCCCUGGGGAUAUAGAGCUGCCACUUCCGGCCCAGCCUUACUGCUCCCACUGCUCCUGGGACAGUUCCUGCUUCUGAACUGGUUGAUAGAAACUGCAAAUCCAGCAAGGAUAGGCCAAGGGCAUAGCCGCAGAGAGCCACUCCUCGUAAGUCAGCCCACCCAGAAGAACUGAAGGGACGAAGACUCUUAGGGUUGAGUCCUGAGUCCGGGCUGAGCUGCAUUUGUUGUCCUUUUCAUCCGAAUCAAUGUAGGAUGGUUUGGCUUAGCCAUACUCAAGCUGUGGCAUCCACCAGCAAUGGUGUCUCCAGAAAACUACCUUGUUUUUCUCCUCGCUUGUUUUCCAACUCUAAAAUGCUAUUACUUCAUAGUGUUAUUACAUUAAAAAAAAGAAUAACACAAAAACAUCUAAAAAUGAAUACUAAAUGAAUACUGUUUAAUAAGACAACAAACAUUUUUAAAAAAUGAAUGGCUUAGAAAUGAUGCCAUGAGAUUUUAGCUAUUGCCAUCAUUAUUGUGAUUAUUUUGUGUUAUUAUUAUGAUGGUCUAUAUGAACUACAUAUUAACAUCAUAACUACAUUUUAACAUCAUAACCACUUAGACAUGAUAAUAUAAAUUAAUGACAGAGCUUGGACUUAGGGGUCAAGGCCAUCAGAGACUUCAUUCUAACACACCUGUACCACAGACUUUGUUCAUUUGGGUGACUACUUACAGUUCAAACUUCGGUCUCCCAACUGUGAAGUGGGGUUAACAAGAGUGAUUGCUGUGGGCGGAGGGAUGGAUGGGAAAUGUGCAUUAUCAGAGACAAAGUCUGAUCACUGAAGAAGUUCAACAAAGGGGAACUGUUAUUAUUUCUUUUUUUAUUAAAUAUUUUCUUCAUUUACAUUUCAAAUGCUAUCCCCAAAGCUCCAUAUACCCUCCCCCUGCCCUGCUCCCCAACCCACCCACUCCUGGUUCCUGGCCCUGGGAUUCCCCUGUACUGGGGCAUAUGAUCUCCGCAAGACCAAGGACCUCUCCACCCACUGAUGGCCGAGUAGGCCAUCCUCUGAUACAUAUGCAACUAGAGACACAACUCUGGGGGAAGAGGUAUACUGGUUAGUUCAUAUUGUUGUUCCUCCUAUAGGGUUGCAGACCCCUUUUGCUCCUUGGGUACUUUCUCUAGCUCCUUCAUUAGGGGCCCUGUGUUCCAUCCAAUAGAUGACUGUGAGCAUCCACUUCUGUAUUUGCCAGGUGUUGGUAUAGCCUCACAAGAGACCGCUAUAUCAGAGUCUUGUCAGCAAAAUCUUUCUGGCAUAUGCAAUAGUGUCUGGGUUUGGUGGUUGUAUAUGGGAUGGAAUAACCCUAUUAAAAAUGGGGUACAGAGCUAAACAAAGGAUUCUCAAUGGAAAAAUACCAAAUGGCUGAGAAGCACCUGAAAAAAUGUUCAACAUACUUAAUCAUCAGGGAAAUGAAAAUCAAAACAACCCUGAGAUUCCACCUUACACCAGUCAGAAUGGCUAAGAUCAAAAAUUCAGGUGACAGCAGAUGCUGGCGAGGAUGUGGAGAAAGAGGAACACUCCUCCAUUGCUGGUGGAAUUGCAAGCUGGUACAACCACUCUGGAAAUCAGUCUGGCAGUUCCUCAGAAAAUUGGACAUAGUACUACCAGAAGAUCCAGCAAUACCCUCCUGGGAAUAUACCCAGAAGAUGUUCCAAUUUGUAAUAAGGACACAUGCUCAACUAUGUUAAUAGCAGCCUUAUUUAUAAUAGCCAGAAGCUGGAAAGAACCCAGAUGUCCCUCAACAGAGAAAUGGAUACAGAAAAUGUGGUACAUUUACACAAUGGAGCAAUUAAAACAUUGAAUUCAUGAAAUUCUUAGGCAAUGGAUGGAUCUGGAGGAUAUCAUCCUGAGUGAGGUAACCCAAUCAUAAAAGAACACACAUGAUAUGCACUCACUGAUAAGCGGAUAUUAGCCCAGAAACUUAGAAUACUCAAGAUACAAGAUACAAUUUGCAAAACACAUGAAACACAAGAAGAAGGAAGACCAUUGGGAACAAAAUACCCAUGGAAGGAGUUACAGAGACAAAGUCUGGAGCUGAGACAGAAGGAAGGACCAUCCAGAGACUGCCUCCUGUUAUUAUUUCUACAUGCUUGUGCAGGCUCACUUGCCAAAGCAAAAGUUACUCUGAGAACAAACAUUCUCCAGCAUUUUGAUCACACUGAUAUGCAGGUGCUCUGAGGCCAGCAGCCCCAGGAGAAGCCGCAGAGCCUGAGGAAGGGAUUCUGGAGAAUGUGAUGCACUGGGAAACACCUUUACAGGUGAGAAAAGGAGACCAGGACAGGAAGAGGAUGGUUCCAAAUACACACAAUCACUUCUACUUCUUCGCUAUCUGUAGAGGGGCACUGUGUGACUGUGUGUAAUCCUUCCUCGUGCUCCAUUGGAAUCAGUGUCAGCCGAGAGAACUACUGGUGGUUUUCCUUAUUAUCUGGACUUAUGUCUUUCAUUUGUUAAAUUCAUUUAUUUGUUUAUUUAUUCGUUCAGCAAUACAUACGAAGACUCUUCUUUCACCCCUGAAUCUGGCUUGUUCAGAACACAUUUUUUUUAUUUCUGUAAAUUCUGAACUAGUCACCAAGAGCCAAAGGAUUUUAUACGUUCAGCACUGCCAAGAAACCUCUCUUUUGUUUUUGAGUAUUUGCUGGCUCUAGCUUACCAGCGUAUUCUUGGCACUGGCAUCCCGCUUAAAUAAGUUUACAAGUCUCAGUGGGAUAGAAAAUGAAGAGCACAGGAAAGCACUGGCUGCCUUAGAAGACACAGAAGGAAGGAGAGGGUGGGAAUGGGAGACCAGGGCUCUGUGCAGGAUUCCUAAUCCGCACAGUUGCUGAGCACAGGCCACAUUUGAGAUCGGAAAUGCUGAGGAGCCCACAAGCUUUGUGGAUGGAUGGAUCUGACUUCUCCAGAAGAAAUAAUGCUGAAUGAGCUUGUGGAUUGGUCUGUUACACUGCUUACUUUUCUCAGAACUUUGACUCAAUUCCUGCCAAAGCAACUUAAAGAUUCAUUUGGGUUUACAGUUUGGGGGAUGCAGUCCAUGAAGGCAGGGGAGGCAUGGGGCUAUAAGCACAAGGUAGCUUUGUGUCCAUGUUCAAGAAAUAGAGAAAGAUGCAUGCUGGAGCUCCUUAGCCUUUCUUAUCCCACCCUCUCUAUUUAGCUUGAACCCCCAGCCCAUGGGAUGGUGCUAUCCAUGCUAUGGUGGGUCUUCUUUCUUCAUUUAAACUUCUCUGGAAAUAUCGUCACAGGUGUACUCAUAUAUGGGUUUCUAGGUGAGUCCAAUUUUAGUCUGGUUGACAAUAAAAAUUACCUAUUUAUUGUGUGUGGGUGUUUGUUUCUAAAGAAGUAUGGAUUCAAUGCAGACAGCCUCUUUUCAGAGCCGAACAAUAUUUGUUCUUUUGGCCAAGGAUUCUAAACUCAUAACUGCUCUUGGUAUGAUGCCAAAGAGAGGCUAUCAUAUCAUUCUCUACCAUGUGACCCCAAUGUAUAAAAUGAAGGCCUCAUCUGGUCAUUUGAUCUCCAAACUCCUUUCUAUAAAGGAGGGUAUUUAUCUCAAUAAUUCUUGGUGCAAUUGACUUAGGACAAUUAAUAUAAGCCUGAUGGAACAUAUUUGCUGGAAUGUCAGGAGGCUCAGUCUAUUCAAUAUUUAUCAACAAUUUGGAUGGAGGGAGAUGGCGUGCUGCCAUGGUUUGGGGGGAAUUGACAGGAGUUGGGAGAAGCCAUGCUUGUGACAGAAUCAAGAGUUGAAAAGUUUGAAAAUGGGCCUAAAGUCAAUAGAUAAAAUGUUGCUGUUUUAAGCAAAACACUCAUAAUUGUAUAAAUACAGAGAGGUAAUCCUAAUCCAUAAGCAAUUUAAGUGAGAUGACUUAAGCGUCUAAGUUCAGGAUGUACUGCAUUCAUGUAUAUUCAUGUUCAUGUUCAUGUAUUCAUGUUCAAUAAAUAUCUAUGGUCCCUGGCAUUCUUCCAGGGGUGAAGGAUACAGCAGUAAGUAAUAUGACAUCAUUGCUAGGUGGUUUACAUUCUAAUAUGUAAUGCAUUACAAUGUGAAGCCCAUAGCAUGCCACACAAAAGAGUAGGCUCUAUGAUACAAGCCAGCAAGAAGCAAGUGGUAGAGGUGAAAGGUGAAGCAAGGCAAUGAACAAUGAGACUACGGGUCACCAUUUAUCUAUUUAAAGCAACUGUGUGGCAUGGCUGCGACAAGCAUUGAAAUCCUGAAGUUUAUGAAAAAUGUGUUCCACCAAUCAGAGUGCUUCAUUCAGAGGUUUCUCCCUUUGUACAUACCCUGACCUCACUUAACUGCAGGGCCAUCCAUGAAGGCCAUUCUAUACCUUUCCAGGUUUUCUGACCUUGGCCUCAUUUCUGCAAUUUUACAUCUCUGGCUUUCGUGAGUCACUGACCGUGCAUGGAGCCCCUAUCACAGACCACUUCCAACAUUGCCACACGGCAGAUGCUGAGACUGGCUGGAUUUCUUCUGGCCACUGUGGGGCCACCCACCGUGACCGUGAUCACUGCAUCACCUUGAAGUGUCCAACUUGACCUGUCCCAGUUCUCUUUCAAAGUCCUCUUGUGGCAUUGGCUGCCAGAUAAGCCUCAAAGGGAACAUUUUUCUGUUUUAUUAAUGUUCUUACUCCUAAGUUUUGCACAGUGUGUGGGAUAAAUGCUAAUUUUUGUAGGUGGGGGAAAAACUUUUCUCCAAAACUUCUUGCAAUUUUAUUAAUAAUGUAGCAAAUGAGACAACAUAUUCUGAGGGCUUAGAGAAUCCCAGGGAGGCAUCCUGGGCCUCUGAGCACCAGCGCUGUUCCUCCUGCUGUCUCUGUCUCUCUCUCUCAGGCAGGGAGCUGCAGCACCGAAGAGCAGAGGGCAGGGGAAUUAUGCAUGAGCAGAGAGAGAAGAUGAUGACCUUCUGUGUUUAAAGGUUAAAACGAUUUCUUGGGAAAUGGAGCAAACUCACUAAUCAGAGGCUGUUCUGAAUUUUUCUGCAAAAAUUAGACCUAGUGGCUCUCUUCAUUGCUCUGUUUGAGUGUAUAUAUGUAUAUACAUGUAUAUAUAAGACAACCAAAUUAUGUUAGGCAUAAUCUAUUGAAUACCUACUGUGUUCCAACCCUAACAUAAGUUACACCAAAAAGAUAAAAAGAAGUACAUCAAUGUCUUUGGCUACUGAUAAUUCCAGUAACCAGAGUGCUCAAUUAGACAGUUUUUCUGCUUCAUGUGACUUAAAAGGAAUACAGUAGUUAUUCCAGGAAUUUACUAAAAGGGAAGUAUGAUUAGGGCACAUCACAAUGGAGACCCCCAUUUUCACAGCCGUGGUGCUGGUGGUGAAGCUAAGCUCAAGAUGAAGAUGAUGGACACAAUGAGGUGAAUUCUUGGCCUUUACGCUGAAUUUAUAGGCGUCAGGGCUUAAAGCAUAUCUCAUUUACCCACUCAGUGAGCAUGUUCUGAAAGCAUCCUCUG
Long non-coding RNA from Mus musculus (house mouse), 8236 nucleotides. RefSeq annotates it as predicted gene, 32398. Lineage: Eukaryota; Metazoa; Chordata; Mammalia; Rodentia; Muridae. The transcript is spliced from 3 exons. The record is from RefSeq and is a predicted model, not a curated record.